Molecule: ribosomal RNA, 485 nt
Filed under: uncultured bacterium
Lineage: Bacteria
Description: SSU rRNA
Rfam family: Bacterial small subunit ribosomal RNA
Source: RNAcentral
AGGACGAACGCUGGCGGCGUGCUUAACACAUGCAAGUCACGGGGGCUCGCAAGAGCAACCGGCGAACGGGUGCGUAACACGUGAGCAACCUACCGAUUUCUGGGGGAUAGCCGGCCCAACGGCCGGGUAAUACCGCAUACGUUCUUUGGGGGACAUCCUCUGAAGAAGAAACCUCCGGGGGAGAUCGAGGGGCUCGCGGCCUAUCAGCUAGUUGGCGAGGUAACGGCUCACCAAGGCAACGACGGGUAGCUGGUCUGAGAGGAUGGCCAGCCACAUUGGGACUGAGAGACGGCCCAGACUCCUACGGGAGGCAGCAGUGGGGAAUCUUGCGCAAUGGCCGAAAGGCUGACGCAGCGACGCCGCGUGUGGGAUGAAGCAUUUCGGUGUGUAAACCACUGUUGCCCGGGACGAACAGCUUCUUUCGAGGAGCCUGACGGUACCGGGUGAGGAAGCACCGGCUAACUCCGCGCCAGCAGCCGCGGUAA